GAGAGGGGCUGCUCCUAGUACGAGAGGACCGGAGUGGACGAACCUCUGGUGUUCCGGUUGUCACGCCAGUGGCAUUGCCGGGUAGCUAUGUUCGGAAAAGAUAACCGCUGAAAGCAUCUAAGCGGGAAACUUGCCUCAAGAUGAGAUCUCACUGGGAACUUGAUUCCCCUGAAGGGCCGUCGAAGACUACGACGUUGAUAGGCUGGGUGUGUAAGCGUUGUGAGGCGUUGAGCUAACCAGUACUAAUUGCCCGUGAGGCUUGACCAUAUAACACCCAAACA
Molecule: ribosomal RNA, 281 nt
Filed under: Pseudomonas aeruginosa
Lineage: Bacteria; Pseudomonadati; Pseudomonadota; Gammaproteobacteria; Pseudomonadales; Pseudomonadaceae
Description: partial 23S ribosomal RNA
Rfam family: Bacterial large subunit ribosomal RNA
Source: RNAcentral